AAAUAAGAAGCAACCUUAUGCAGUUAGUUUCGACCUAAUUAUUGGUAAUAAUUAUUACCCUUAUUUU
Molecule: transfer RNA, 67 nt
Filed under: Haania sp. JZ-2017
Lineage: Eukaryota; Metazoa; Arthropoda; Insecta; Mantodea; Haaniidae
Description: tRNA-Arg
Source: RNAcentral